UAAAGAAAAAACUAAUACAAGAUAAGGAUAACUUCAAAAGAGAGUCUAAAAUAGCCAAGCAAAAGCCCAACUCCAUAAACCCAAACUGUAAUGAGGAGGGCCCAAAGUGAGCAGCCCAUAGCAGCAACCAAAUUGAAAAACCUAGACAGCCAUCUCAACCAAAACAGUCAUACCACCACCGCAGAUCCAUCACCACCACCCGGAAGAAAGGCUAAAAAACCAAAUGGAUGAAAGGAAAAUGGGGCUAGGCAAGCUACCCGCGCUGGGAGCGCUCCCAUAACCCUACCAAAUAGUGCAAAAUGCACUUUUAAAGGGUAGUUGGUAGAAGAUUCAUGGUGAGGAGCGAUGUUUGGAGAGGAAUAAGGCAAAUAAAAUAGAUAUGAGAUAAACUUAUAGAAAAUUGAGACCAAGCUCAGAGCAACCUGAGACACAAAAUGCUCAAACAGAAAACAAACGAAAGCUAAAUGCAAAUACAUAUAAACUAAAUCUCCAACCAUGGUGGCUUGGAGAGGGAAAAACUGUGGUGGAGUUGGAGGAAAAAGGAGAGAUGGGGAAAUCAGGAGGAAAGAGAGGGAGAGAAGGGGAGAAAGUAAGGAAACAAGGGUGGAAAAAGGAGAAGAAGAAGGGCGAAAAUCAGGGAGAGAUGGGAGAUAGUGAUGAAAUAAAGGGUGGACGAGAGAGGAAGAGAGAGGAGGGCGAGAAGGGAAGGGCUAGGCUGCCGCCGACCUCAAGCCAGAGCAAGAGGCCGACGACAAAGAAGGUUUCAGAGGUUUAGGCACUUUACUUUGGGGGAGGGAGAUGGCAUAGAGUCAUAGACUCAUAGGCACCCCCAAUCAAUAAUUGUCAAUUAUAUAAUAACUUGAAUAUUAUUGUCCUAAGAAGUGGAGUUGUUCUUAAUAGUUCGGGACUCAAUUGCAGUUGCGUAGCGACGGUUGUGUUUGAGUUUAAAAGAUUUCACCACCACGGCCUUGGUAAGUUGGAAAGAGAGUUGUGGAAAGGAAAAUAAUUUUGUGGUUUAUGUGUAAAUAAACAUAUUUUUGCUCAACAUUCUUAAUUGAUGGCCAUCCUUAAUAUUUUAUUUAUUACCGUUCAAUGAGUUUAAAUUUCAAAAUUUAUUUAUUUAAUAGACACAUCUCAAAAUUUAAAAUCAUUGACUAAUAAUAAGUAGGAUUGUGAGUAUUAGUACAAUUUGAGAACGGUGAGCAAAAACGUUCCCAUAAGGGGAAAUGUUAAUCCCUCCAACCUCUUGGUGUUCACUUUCCUUCCCCAGUAAACAAAAUAAAAACAUGAAUUGAUAUGUUUUAUCUACUUUCCCAAGAAAAGACAUGGCAAAUCAUUUCUCAUGAAUUCUUUACUGGGUACUAAGCGCGUGAUAAGGGUUUAGGGUUUACGGCCACCACUACCUGAGUUGGAUUCGCCUCAACCCUGCCUUCAAAACCUUGGAAUAUGAUCGUUCAUCGAACGUCAGACGGCAUCACGGCGUGGGUGCGCCUUUCACGGCCUUCGAGGGCUUUCCAACAAUUUUGGUCAUUUUCUGUCCACUUUUGGACUUCGUACAAGUGUAAACUUUCAUCCUCGUGUUGAUAUCUUUCUACAUGUAAAAUUUGGUGAAGUUUGGUUAAUGACGGAAAUUUGAUUCUAGAUCACUACGCGCAGUGGCACGUGGGCAACUCUGGUGAUAUGAAUUUUGGACAAGAGAUGUUAUCGAUGCUCUGAGCCCAUAUCCAAGGUCCUUUUUAGAGAUUUGAUGCGAUAGUUCAACUAUUCAAUUUUUGAAUUAACUGUACUGCUGCUCGAUUUUCGCAAUUAACGACAAUUCAAUUGUUGGAUCUUCGUGCUAUUUAAUGAGCAUGCUAUUUAGUGAUUUUAUGACCCUUGAGAACUUUGGAAAUGAAAUCCGACAUUCGAAUCUUUUGGAUUGAAGAAUUUAGUGUUGUUGAUCUUAGUGGGCCGACCCCACUUAGUGAGAAAAGACUUUGUUGUUGUUGUUGAUCUUAGUGGAACCAAUUUGAUGACGGUUGACAUUUUAAUCAACGUGUCCAUAAUUAUUCUGGUGUCUCGUUUAUAUAUAGGAUUCUAAGUUAAGACUUGUGUGUUUUCUUCUGCGUCAUGCCUUAGUGCUUCGAUCAUCGAGCUAGGAUUGCUAGUAGGUUGGACUUUAGGUGAAUUGACUUUAAUAUUAUGUGAUAAGUAUUUUGCUUAUGAAAAUUCCCUUGUUAUAUACUUUGUCUGCAUAACAUGAAUUUACAAAUGUGUUGUUAUCUAGUCAUUGAUUUUUUUUGUAAAAUGAUAUAUUUAUGUAUGUUUGAAAUGUUUGCGAACUAAGAGGGUUAGCAGAGGAUCGUUGCCUUGGUAUACUUUUUUUUUUCUUCUUGUUUCACGUGUGGAUUUGAUAUCCUUGGAGUACUUCCCUUCUUUCUUAUUCCAUGAGAGGUUCUGGAAUCUUGUGAACAAUUUCUGUAAGUUCCAUGAAUGGUUCAUGAACGCUCCUUUUGUACGGUUACAUGAGAGGUUCUGGAAUCCUACAUUUAGUUAGAUUUCAUGAGAGGUUCUAGAAUCCUACUCCGAUUCCUUGAGAGGUUUAGGAACUCUGUGCAUAGUUUCUAUCCCGUUUCAUGAGAGGUUUUGAAACCUUUCUUUGUGUAUAUUUGCUAUCUGGUUCUAUGAAAGGUCCUCAAACGCGGAACUUUAUGACGUCACUGUAGCCCUAUUUAUUUUAUUAUAUAUAUAAAAGAAAAACCGGUUGAAUGCAUGUGUAGAGCCAAUCGAGAUUUGUGAGUGAGAAUUAUUCUAUAUAUGCAAAGGAUUGUGAAAUGUUUAAAAUGAGAUCGAUUGACUGACCUUUUAAAUUACAUAUUGUAUCUCACACGACCUUUGCAGCUUAUCUGAGUUUUUGUUUUGCUCAGUGCAUCAUUCUCACGAUAGGGAGAUCAUGGAACCCCAAGCCCAACCCCCCACAUUCAAAAGAACACGACAGUAGGACCAAAAACGAAGA
This 2995-nucleotide long non-coding RNA is filed under the name Malus domestica (apple). RNAcentral describes it as "long non-coding RNA (MDOM_LNC009790)". Lineage: Eukaryota; Viridiplantae; Streptophyta; Magnoliopsida; Rosales; Rosaceae. The record is from RNAcentral.